RNAcentral lists this ribosomal RNA (253 nucleotides) under uncultured bacterium. Its description in RNAcentral is "partial 16S ribosomal RNA". It matches the Rfam family "Bacterial small subunit ribosomal RNA", at positions 524 to 776 of the family's 1533-position model. The record is from RNAcentral.
UACGAAGGGGGCUAGCGUUGUUCGGAAUCACUGGGCGUAAAGCGCGCGUAGGCGGAUUGGUAAGUUAGGGGUGAAAUCCCGGGGCUCAACCUCGGAACUGCCUUUGAUACUGCCAGUCUAGAGUCCGGGAGAGGUGAGUGGAAUUCCUAGUGUAGAGGUGAAAUUCGUAGAUAUUAGGAAGAACACCAGUGGCGAAGGCGGCUCACUGGCCCGGUACUGACGCUCAUGUGCGAAAGCGUGGGGAGCAAACAGG